AUCCCUCCCAAAUUAUUCUGAGGCAUCCCUCCCAUACUAUCUUGUGGCAUUCGCCCCAUAUUUGAUGGGCCUCCUCCCAUAUUUGAAGGACCUCCGCCCAUAUAUUGAGGGCCUCCAGGUCCUCCCAUAUUUUGUGGGCCUCCCAUGCCAGGUGGCCCUCCUCCCAUAUUUUGUGGGCCUCCCAUGCCAGGUGGCCCUCCCAUAUUUUGUGGGCCUCCUCUCCCUGGCGGCCCUCCUCCCAUAUUCUGUGGACCUCCCAUCCCAGGCGGCCCUCCCAUAUUCUGUGGGCCUCCCAUGCCAGGUGGCCCUCCUCCCAUAUUCUGUGGGCCUCCCAUGCCAGGUGGCCCUCCUCCCAUAUUCUGUGGACCUCCCAUUCCAGGUCCCAUGUUCUGUGGGCCUCCCACUCCUGGUGGCCCUCCCAUGUUAUUAGGACCAGGACCUUGCCUGUUCUGCUGCAUAUUUUCUCUUUUUCGUUCAAAGUUUCUUGAUCUAUCAAAGUUGCGAGGUCGGUCAUUGCGCCUAUUUCUC
This 528-nucleotide long non-coding RNA is filed under the name Daucus carota (carrot). Its description in RNAcentral is "long non-coding RNA (DCAR_LNC003960)". The record is from RNAcentral. Lineage: Eukaryota; Viridiplantae; Streptophyta; Magnoliopsida; Apiales; Apiaceae.